CAGACUAGCACCAUAACGGGUGCCUGCAAUGUAAACAUGUUGUUGUAAGUGCCACCUUUCUAAGUUCCAACCACAAAGGUCUGAUGCCAACACAUGCAAACAUUAUACAUGAACUCAAAAGACAUGCACAGGAUCCAAAAAUGCUAAGAUACAAAACCAUGGGGCACAGAAAACAAGUAAUCCAUCAUAAGUGAAACCAAAAGGCUAUAAAUAACCCAUGACAACCAAAUGAUCUGAGGAUGAGAGUAUCAUAAUCAACUGAGAAGAUUUUAGUUAACAUUCUUUACUCCGUUAGAGCCAAAUGUGUGGCCCCAUAAAAUCUUUCACGUACAAGAGUCGAUGCCAAUGAGCAAGUUAUAAGACUGUUAUACAAGUAAAUAGUCAGACUAAAAUCUAAUAUGCCAAGGAUAUUAAUCCACACAUAAAAGUUCCUCUGUUACUCCAAUCUUUGCAGCCAGGUGGUUUUGCAAACCCAGGGAAUAAUACAAGUGAGACUUUAGCAUGCCAUGUAAUUGUAGUCAGGCAUGGGCAUACAAGAGUUCCAGCAUUGAGUCAUGGGCAAAAACACAAUUGUUUGUCUUUUAAUGUGUGGGUUUUAUUCUCUUUAACUGCUUAACAAAGAAUAAA
Molecule: unclassified non-coding RNA, 627 nt
Filed under: Hevea brasiliensis (rubber tree)
Lineage: Eukaryota; Viridiplantae; Streptophyta; Magnoliopsida; Malpighiales; Euphorbiaceae
Source: RNAcentral